This 283-nucleotide ribosomal RNA is filed under the name uncultured bacterium. RNAcentral describes it as "partial 16S ribosomal RNA". It matches the Rfam family "Bacterial small subunit ribosomal RNA", at positions 335 to 616 of the family's 1533-position model. The record is from RNAcentral.
GGCCUACGGGACGCAGCAGUGAGGAAUAUUGGUCAAUGGCCGGAAGGCUGAACCAGCCAAGCCGCGUGAAGGACGACUGUCCCAAGCAUUGUAAACUUCUUUUGUCAAGGGAUAACAUCAGGCUCGAGAGCCUGACCGCGGGUACUUGAAGAAAAAGCAUCGGCUAACUCCGUGCCAGCAGCCGCGGUAAUACGGAGGAUGCGAGCGUUAUCCGGAUUUAUUGGGUUUAAAGGGUGCGUAGGCGGCCUGUUAAGUCAGCGGUCAAAGCUCGGGGCUCAACCCC